This 1626-nucleotide ribosomal RNA is filed under the name Triticum aestivum (bread wheat). RNAcentral describes it as "partial small subunit ribosomal RNA". The record is from RNAcentral. Lineage: Eukaryota; Viridiplantae; Streptophyta; Magnoliopsida; Poales; Poaceae.
AUGGCUCACCGUCGUGAUCUGGCUCCAGGAUGGACCUUCAACCCACCGGACCGCGAGCUCACGGAUGUCUACCUCCGCCGCGAGAUCGACGGCCAGCCCAUCGCGGCCAGCUUCAUGCAUCGUCACGUCGACGUCUACUCCGCCGCGCCGGAGAAGCUAGUGGAGAGCCUCCAGCACGCGCCGGGCAUCGGCGAAGCCCAAGGCGAGGAAGACAAACGCGUCUGGUACUUCUUCACCACCCUUCGCCACGCCGGCAAGAACGUGCCCGGCGGCCCCCGUAGGAUGUCGCGCACCAUUGCCGGCGCCGCCGACGGCAAGAAGCGGUGGUGGCACUCGGAGGGUUCCCUGAAGGCGGUGAAAGGAAGCGCGGCCGGCGGGGCGCUGCAGAAAUUGACCUACAAGGUUGAGUCGGCGUCGGGGUCGGGCGGCUGGCUCAUGACCGAGUACAGCAUCCACGGAGCCGGCGACUUGGUUCUCUGCAAGGUCUACAAGACGCCUCGGCGGCCUCGCCUGGCUCGCCGUCCUCGCCUAUCAUCCCCGGCGUCGUCGUUGUCGUCGUCGUCGUCAUCGUGCACGACGACAGCGGCCGAUCUUUCCGGAUGGGGCUGCAAGAGAAAGGCAUCCGGCGACCACCCAGAAGCUCCGCCCACGACGCAGCGGAAAACGCAGGAGGCAUACGUCCAGAUGGAGGAGGAGGUUGAGAGCUACAGCGCGCGACGCCAACCAGAUCAAGAUAACGAGGGCUUCAGCUUCUGCACCGCCUACCGGGCGCCCCAAGGUGACUUCCAUGCUUCAGCUUCAGCUUCCUCGUCGUCUACGAAGAGCGUGUUUUUGGACUUGGACGCCGGAGUUACCGUGGACAUGGUCGCGCCUCAAUCCGCACCAGGCGCUUUCGUCGAGGAGGAUGCCGGACUCGGUUCUGGAGCGGACAGCGUCGACAAGAUCGUGCUCUAUGAAAGCGGAGUGACCGUCGACGACUUGCUAGACGACACGAGCAACGAUGGCUUCCAAGAACCUGCGCCAGCACCACCGUGCCGGAACGAGGUCCUCUCUGCGGCGGCUCCCCCCAGCAACACGAGCCAGAACGAGCUUCUCCAUGCGCCGGCCAGCAACACGGCGGCAUGGAAUCCAACAGAUGGCGGCUGCUACGGAGCGGAAAGCGUUGACAAGAUCGUGCUCUACGAUGGCGAAGUUACCGUCGACGACUUGCUAGACGACACCACGCUUGACGGGAGCAACGAUGACUUCCUCUGUCAAGAUCAAGAACCUCCAGCCGCAUCGCCGUGCCGGAACGAGCUCCUCUCCGUCGCUGUGGCCCGCAACAACACGACAUCACCGCCGGCGCCGAGCCAGAACGAGCUCCUCCAUGCCCCCGCCAGCAAACGACGUGGGAUCCGACGGCUGGCGGUCGCUACGAGUUGUUAUCCACCUACGUUCCUCCUCCCUUCCGCGACGAGGAAGAAGCUGUUGUUGAGUGGCCGGAGGCCGCCGGCGUCGGCACGUCGGACCCAGCACUCGAUCUGUUCUGGGGUACACCCAAUGGUGUGUGCAUGUACUGAGUCUGCUACACGAACAUCAUCAUACGCAUCAUGUAUGUAUUCCAUGUCAAAAACCGUAGUGAAUUAG